This 73-nucleotide transfer RNA is filed under the name Bos taurus (domestic cattle). It matches the Rfam family "tRNA". Rfam says of the family: Transfer RNA (tRNA) molecules are approximately 80 nucleotides in length. Their secondary structure includes four short double-helical elements and three loops (D, anti-codon, and T loops). RNAcentral also lists the same sequence under 2 other names. Lineage: Eukaryota; Metazoa; Chordata; Mammalia; Artiodactyla; Bovidae. The record is from Rfam by way of RNAcentral.
UCCCUGAAGGUCCAGUGGCUAAGACUCUGUGCUCCCAAUGCAGGAGGCCUAGGUUCAAUGCCUGGUCAGGGAA